CCCAGACUCCUACGGGAGGCAGCAGUGGGGGAUAUUGCACAAUGGGGGGAACCCUGAUGCAGCGACGCCGCGUGGGUGAAGAAGUAUUUCGGUAUGUAAAGCCCUAUCGGCAGGGGAGAAUUUAGACGGUACCUGACUAAGAAGCCCCGGCUAACUACGUGCCAGCAGCCGCGGGAAUACGUAGGGGGCAAGCGUUAUCCGGAUUCACUGGGUGUAAAGGGAGCGUAGACGGCCAUGCAAGCCUGGAGUGAAAGCCCGCGGCCCAACUGCGGGACUGCUUUGGAAACUGCCCGGCUAGAGUGCUGGAGAGGUAAGCGGAAUUCCUAGUGUAGCGGUGAAAUGCGUAGAUAUUAGGAGGAACACCAGUGGCGAAGGCGGCUUACUGGACAGUAACUGACGUUGAGGCUCGAAAGCGUGGGGAGCAAACAGGAUUAGAUACCCCGGUAGC
This 448-nucleotide ribosomal RNA is filed under the name uncultured bacterium. Its description in RNAcentral is "bacterial SSU rRNA". It matches the Rfam family "Bacterial small subunit ribosomal RNA", at positions 330 to 794 of the family's 1533-position model. The record is from RNAcentral.